RNAcentral lists this long non-coding RNA (437 nucleotides) under Ananas comosus (pineapple). Its description in RNAcentral is "long non-coding RNA (ACOM_LNC013097)". Lineage: Eukaryota; Viridiplantae; Streptophyta; Magnoliopsida; Poales; Bromeliaceae. The record is from RNAcentral.
UUUAUUUUUUAAAAAAUAUUAGGUAUAUGUCCCAAAUGUUACGGUGAGCCUCCAAUAAAUACAUUCUAUAUACUUAUAAUGGUAUAUAAAGAUCUCCACAAAAAAUAAAAUAAAAAAGAUAAGAGAGGACGAAGACAAAUCAAAAAAUCUAGUACGUUGUCAUGAAAGCAAAAUAAAAUAACUUUAUUAAAUAAAAUAAUUCAUCACCAUAUGCAAUCUUCGGGACGAGCGCUAAUUAAAUAUGACAACUUCCGGCUUCAUUAACCAAAUAAUCCCGACCUAUCUAUUUAUAACUAAUUAUAUAGAAUCCUACUCUCAUUCGAUUUCACCUUAACCAUAAUCUAAAUAAUCGAAUAUAUUUUAACCAUAAUCGAAUAUAAUAAUAGAUAAGAUCAAAUAAUCUAAUUCUAAUUUCAUUAGCAUUAUCUUUAACACCA